AGUGAACGCUGGCGGUAGGCCUAACACAUGCAAGUCGAACGGCAGCACAGUAAGAGCUUGCUCUUACGGGUGGCGAGUGGCGGACGGGUGAGGAAUACAUCGGAAUCUACUUUUUCGUGGGGGAUAACGUAGGGAAACUUACGCUAAUACCGCAUACGACCUACGGGUGAAAGCAGGGGAUCUUCGGACCUUGCGCGAUUGAAUGAGCCGAUGUCGGAUUAGCUAGUUGGCGGGGUAAAGGCCCACCAAGGCGACGAUCCGUAGCUGGUCUGAGAGGAUGAUCAGCCACACGGGAACUGAGACACGGUCCAGACUCAUACGGGAGGCAGCAGUGGGGAAUAUUGGACAAUGGGCGCAAGCCUGAUCCAGCCAUACCGCGUGGGUGAAGAAGGCCUUCGGGUUGUAAAGCCCUUUUGUUGGGAAAGAAAAGCAGCAGGUUAAUACCCCGCUGUUCUGACGGUACCAAAAGAAUAAGCACCGGCUAACUUCGUG
RNAcentral lists this ribosomal RNA (492 nucleotides) under uncultured bacterium. RNAcentral describes it as "partial 16S ribosomal RNA". It matches the Rfam family "Bacterial small subunit ribosomal RNA", at positions 29 to 507 of the family's 1533-position model. The record is from RNAcentral.